UUUUAAUUAGGUAGUGGAGUAACUAAGACGUAAGUCAUCGGUUCGAAUCUGAUAAAG
RNAcentral lists this transfer RNA (57 nucleotides) under Cryptochloa strictiflora. Its description in RNAcentral is "tRNA-Thr". The record is from RNAcentral. Lineage: Eukaryota; Viridiplantae; Streptophyta; Magnoliopsida; Poales; Poaceae.